Molecule: transfer RNA, 74 nt
Filed under: Spirochaetota bacterium
Lineage: Bacteria; Pseudomonadati; Spirochaetota
Description: Spirochaetes bacterium (activated sludge metagenome) tRNA-Gly
Rfam family: tRNA
About the family: Transfer RNA (tRNA) molecules are approximately 80 nucleotides in length. Their secondary structure includes four short double-helical elements and three loops (D, anti-codon, and T loops).
Source: RNAcentral
GCGGGAAUAGCUCAGUUGGCUAGAGCGACUGCUUGCCAUGCAGUAGGUCGCGAGUUCGAGUCUCGUUUCCCGCU